This 689-nucleotide ribosomal RNA is filed under the name Salmonella enterica subsp. enterica serovar Enteritidis. RNAcentral's name for it is "partial 23S ribosomal RNA". It matches the Rfam family "Bacterial large subunit ribosomal RNA", at positions 1 to 730 of the family's 2925-position model. The record is from RNAcentral. Lineage: Bacteria; Pseudomonadati; Pseudomonadota; Gammaproteobacteria; Enterobacterales; Enterobacteriaceae.
GGUUAAGCGACUAAGCGUACACGGUGGAUGCCCUGGCAGUCAGAGGCGAUGAAGGGCGUGCUAAUCUGCGAUAAGCGCCGGUAAGGUGAUAUGAACCGUUAUAACCGGCGAUACCCGAAUGGGGAAACCCAGUGUGAUUCGUCACACUAUCAUUAACUGAAUCCAUAGGUUAAUGAGGCGAACCGGGGGAACUGAAACAUCUAAGUACCCCGAGGAAAAGAAAUCAACCGAGAUUCCCCCAGUAGCGGCGAGCGAACGGGGAGGAGCCCAGAGCCUGAAUCAGCAUGUGUGUUAGUGGAAGCGUCUGGAAAGGCGCGCGAUACAGGGUGACAGCCCCGUACACAAAAGCGCAUGUGCUGUGAGCUCGAUGAGUAGGGCGGGACACGUGGUAUCCUGUCUGAAUAUGGGGGGACCAUCCUCCAAGGCUAAAUACUCCUGACUGACCGAUAGUGAACCAGUACCGUGAGGGAAAGGCGAAAAGAACCCCGGCUAGGGGAGUGAAAAAGAACCUGAAACCGUGUACGUACAAGCAGUGGGAGCACAGGUUUACCUGUGUGACUGCGUACCUUUUGUAUAAUGGGUCAGCGACUUAUAUUCUGUAGCAAGGUUAACCGAAUAGGGGAGCCGGAGGGAAACCGAGUCUUAAUUGGGCGUUAAGUUGCAGGGUAUAGACCCGAAACCCGGUGAUC